UCCUGAUAGCAACGAACGUGGCCGCAACCUCUUGUUGCUUUCAUACCCAAAUAUCUUAUAUGUACGCAUAUAUUAUAUUAAGAAAGCUUACCAUACACAAACUAGAGGGACCGCUGUUACUUUCUUAAACCAGAGGAAGGUUGCGGCAAUAACAGGUCUGUGAUGCCCUUAGAUGUUCCGGGCUGCACACGUGCUACAAUGAUUAUUGCAGUGAGCAUCUCAUUUAUUACUACAUCGCAUGCGCGAGUCAUAUUUAUUCCGUUCGCGGUUUAAAUAUUCUGAUCUCUGCGCGCGAUUAAGCCUACUUUGAAAGUAAGCGGGUAAUCAAUUAGAAGUAAUGAUUUCCUACUCUUAGCAGUACUUGCACACAUAUAUGCGGCACAUCUACCCGGCUUGCCUUGUUGCAAGUUUUUGUGCGUAGAUGUGUACUUUUUCCGCAUGUGCAAUUGUCAAUUCAUGGUGGGGACAGACCAUUGUUUCAAUUGUUGGUCUCGGUCUUAACUAGGAAUGCCUUGUACGGGUCUUUGGUUCAACAAACCACCCGGAAUACGUCCCUGCCCUUUGUACACACCGCCCGUCGCUCUUACCGAUGGACUUCUCUGUGAGUUUGAGGGACUGUCUGCGGCGUGGAUAUAUUUCGAUAUAUGCCGCCGCUCUAGGAAACUUAAACGAACAG
RNAcentral lists this ribosomal RNA (676 nucleotides) under Streptochilus sp. RNAcentral's name for it is "SSU rRNA". It matches the Rfam family "Eukaryotic small subunit ribosomal RNA", at positions 1313 to 1766 of the family's 1831-position model. The record is from RNAcentral. Lineage: Eukaryota; Foraminifera; Rotaliida; Bolivinitidae.